This 484-nucleotide ribosomal RNA is filed under the name uncultured bacterium. RNAcentral's name for it is "partial 16S ribosomal RNA". It matches the Rfam family "Bacterial small subunit ribosomal RNA", at positions 30 to 507 of the family's 1533-position model. The record is from RNAcentral.
AUUGAACGCUGGCGGCAGGCCUAACACAUGCAAGUCGAGCGGAUGAAGGGGGCUUGCUCCUGGAUUCAGCGGCGGACGGGUGAGUAAUGCCUAGGAAUCUGCCUGGUAGUGGGGGAUAACGUCCGGAAACGGGCGCUAAUACCGCAUACGUCCUGAGGGAGAAAGUGGGGGAUCUUCGGACCUCACGCUAUCAGAUGAGCCUAGGUCGGAUUAGCUAGUUGGUGGGGUAAAGGCCUACCAAGGCGUCGAUCCGUAACUGGUCUGAGAGGAUGAUCAGUCACACUGGAACUGAGACACGGUCCAGACUCCUACGGGAGGCAGCAGUGGGGAAUAUUGGACAAUGGGCGAAAGCCUGAUCCAGCCAUGCCGCGUGUGUGAAGAAGGUCUUCGGAUUGUAAAGCACUUUAAGUUGGGAGGAAGGGCAGUAAGUUAAUACCUUGCUGUUUUGACGUUACCAACAGAAUAAGCACCGGCUAACUUCGUG